ACUGGCUUGGUCAAAGAAUCCUAUUAGAUAUAAGCUGGCAAGUUUCAAGUUUAUGUUUGGCCGAAUCCAUACCCAUAUUACAAAAUGGGAAGAAAAGAUCCGAGAAUUAGAAUCUAUUUUUGCCCUGGGCUGCCGAUAUGGAUACAAUGUUAAUAUCUUGCAAGAUAUAUGGAAAAAAGAAUAUUACUCUAUCUAAAACCAAACGAACAGUGACCAUAUGCUAGCACGAGAGAGAGAUACUAGGCCAUAUGUACCCAUCACAUAUUACCCAGAAGUGAAUAAAGUGUUACGUAAAUAUACAAGACAAGGGAAAUAUAAGAUAGCCCUUAAGAGGGCCCCCACUUUAUUUAAUCAUAUAAGAAACAAUAAAGACGUCGUUCCUAAAUGUAAGAAGGCUGGAGUCUACACCAUCCCUAUAUAACGAAGAUGAAGAUAAAUAACAGUUUAACGU
RNAcentral lists this long non-coding RNA (451 nucleotides) under Androctonus crassicauda. The record is from RNAcentral. Lineage: Eukaryota; Metazoa; Arthropoda; Arachnida; Scorpiones; Buthidae.